Molecule: transfer RNA, 76 nt
Filed under: Magnetospirillum gryphiswaldense
Lineage: Bacteria; Pseudomonadati; Pseudomonadota; Alphaproteobacteria; Rhodospirillales; Rhodospirillaceae
Also listed under: 8 other names
Description: tRNA-Thr
Rfam family: tRNA
About the family: Transfer RNA (tRNA) molecules are approximately 80 nucleotides in length. Their secondary structure includes four short double-helical elements and three loops (D, anti-codon, and T loops).
Source: RNAcentral
GCCGGUUUAGCUCAGCUGGUAGAGCACCUGAUUUGUAAUCAGGGGGUCGCGGGUUCGAACCCUGCAACCGGCACCA